Cyprinus carpio carpio is the source of this 437-nucleotide long non-coding RNA. NCBI's taxonomy places the organism in Eukaryota, Metazoa, Chordata, Actinopteri, Cypriniformes, Cyprinidae. The record is from Ensembl.
UGCUCUUGUGCAACAUUUGCGUAGCAGAGUUGAGAGACCAAAAUCUGCUUGGAAUUCUCUGCUGCUCACACAGGAAUAACACACUCACCAUGGAGGUGCACAUGCAUUCUCUUCUCUUUCUGAUGCUGGGUGUGUGCUGUUCAGGGAGAGAACAGAAAGAGACCUGGUGAAUGGAAGAUUACAGCACAUUACAAAGGUGACUAGAAAAAUGCUGCAGUGGUCCAGAAAUUCAAGGUCCAGAAAUUUGAUAUGGCACAUAUGGCAAGACCAUUGAUGGUGGUUUCCACUGACAGUUUGCAAGAGGGUCUGGCUGCAGACUUGCACUUGCACUCUCAGACUUGCACUCUCAGACACUUGCGCUUCCGCUAGUGACAUCACUUGCAGUCUUUAUUUUAUAUUUUGUUCUAUUUAAUUAUUAUUUUUUGUCUGAAUCUCUC